This 417-nucleotide ribosomal RNA is filed under the name uncultured bacterium. RNAcentral describes it as "partial 16S ribosomal RNA". It matches the Rfam family "Bacterial small subunit ribosomal RNA", at positions 362 to 776 of the family's 1533-position model. The record is from RNAcentral.
UAUUGGUCAAUGGACGCAAGUCUGAACCAGCCAUGCCGCGUGCAGGAUGACGGCUCUAUGAGNUGUAAACUGCUUUUGUACGAGGNNAANNNCNGAUACGUGUAUUGGGUUGAAAGUAUUGUACGAAUAANNNANGNCUAACUCCGUGCCAGCAGCCGCGGUAAUACGGAGGAUCCGAGCGUUAUCCGGAUUUAUUGGGUUUAAAGGGUGCGUAGGCGGUUUGAUAAGUUAGAGGUGAAGUGUCGGGGCUCAACCCCGAAACUGCCUCUAAUACUGUUGGACUAGAGAAUAGUUGCGGUAGGCGGAAUGUAUGGUGUAGCGGUGAAAUGCUUAGAGAUCAUACAGAACACCGAUUGCGAAGGCAGCUUACCAAACUAUAUCUGACGUUGAGGCACGAAAGCGAGGGUAGCAAACAGG